Long non-coding RNA from Eupeodes corollae, 499 nucleotides. RefSeq lists it as uncharacterized. Lineage: Eukaryota; Metazoa; Arthropoda; Insecta; Diptera; Syrphidae. The transcript has 3 exons. The record is from RefSeq and is a predicted model, not a curated record.
CUUCUAAAUUUUCCAAGGCAUGGAAGCAUUCUUUUGAGGUAUAGAGAAGAUUUUUCAACCCUGAAGCAGUUUCACGGAGUAAUUGAGACUGACCGAAAAGUUGCUGCAUUUGGAUAUGCACCAGAAUGCGCUUGUGGUCAUAUCUCUCUUUUAAAAGCUCCCACGCUUUGUCAUAGUUGGCGGCUUCAACGGGUUUGAAUUGUUGUGAACUAGAGCUUGGAAUUUAUCAUGAAAGGCUCUCCAUGUGAUAUACGACCCAUCAAACUUUGGAAGAUCAAUACGGGGUAAUCUAACUUCCGAAUGAGUGGAAUGUUGAAUUUCGGAACCAGAAGUCGUUGACUUCGAAGAGGAAAAAUUAUCCAUCGUUUCGACUAAAAGGGCCCUAUAUUCCAGGCAGCCUCCACCAACAAUUGCCUCAUGGUAGGAUUUAGUCGAUUUUACAUCAUCUUCUACAUAGCUUUGAUAACCGCCCCGAUAUGUAUGGUUUAGUUAAACGCUC